UUGUCUCAAAGAUUAAGCCAUGCAUGUCUCAGUACGAGCCGCAUUAAGGUGAAACCGCGAAAGGCUCAUUAAAUCAGUUAUGGUUCCUUAGAUCGUACCCACAUUUACUUGGAUAACUGUGGUAAUUCUAGAGCUAAUACAUGCAGACAGAGCUCCGACCGGAGACGGAAGGAGUGCUUUUAUUAGAACAAAACCAAUCGGCGGCGGGCGCGUUCGCGCGUUCGUUCGCCGCUCUACCUGGUGAAUCUGAAUAACUUUCAGCUGAUCGCACGGUCUCGCACCGGCGACGCAUCUUUCAAAUGUCUGCCUUAUCAACUGUCGAUGGUAGGUUCUGCGCCUACCAUGGUCGUAACGGGUAACGGGGAAUCAGGGUUCGAUUCCGGAGAGGGAGCCUGAGAAACGGCUACCACAUCCAAGGAAGGCAGCAGGCGCGCAAAUUACCCACUCCCGGCACGGGGAGGUAGUGACGAAAAAUAACGAUACGGGACUCAUCCGAGGCCCCGUAAUCGGAAUGAGUACACUUUAAAUCCUUUAACGAGGACCCAUUGGAGGGCAAGUCUGGUGCCAGCAGCCGCGGUAAUUCCAGCUCCAAUAGCGUA
This 599-nucleotide ribosomal RNA is filed under the name Clypeodytes meridionalis. RNAcentral's name for it is "SSU rRNA". It matches the Rfam family "Eukaryotic small subunit ribosomal RNA", at positions 32 to 601 of the family's 1831-position model. Lineage: Eukaryota; Metazoa; Arthropoda; Insecta; Coleoptera; Dytiscidae. The record is from RNAcentral.